GCACAAUGGGCGCAAGCCUGAUGCAGCCAUGCCGCGUGUAUGUAAGAAGGCCUUCGGGUUGUUAAAGUACUUUCAGUCAGUGAGGAAGGUGGGUAUGUUAAUAGCAUAUUCAUUUGACGUUUAGCUGCAGAAGAAGCACCGGCUAACUCCGUGCCAGCAGCCGCGGUAAUACGGAGGGUGCGAGCGUUAAUCGGAAUUACUGGGCGUAAAGCGCAUGCAGGUGGUUUGUUAAGUCAGAUGUGAAAGCCCGGGGCUCAACCUCGGAAUUGCAUUUGAAAACUGGCAAACUAGAGUACUGUAGAGGGGGUAGAAUUUCAGGUGUAGCGGUGAAAUGCGUAGAGAUCUGAAGGAAUACCGGUGGCGAAGGCGGCCCCCUGGACAGAUACUGACACUCAGAUGCGAAAGCGUGGGGAGCAAACAGGAUUACAUACCCUGGUAG
This 439-nucleotide ribosomal RNA is filed under the name uncultured bacterium. Its description in RNAcentral is "bacterial SSU rRNA". It matches the Rfam family "Bacterial small subunit ribosomal RNA", at positions 366 to 793 of the family's 1533-position model. The record is from RNAcentral.